This 113-nucleotide microRNA precursor is filed under the name Drosophila simulans. RNAcentral describes it as "dsi-miR-2582a". The stretch from base 8 to 87 matches the Rfam family "mir-2582 microRNA precursor family". The record is from RNAcentral. Lineage: Eukaryota; Metazoa; Arthropoda; Insecta; Diptera; Drosophilidae.
CAUGAUUACCAUUCAUAUCCUUCACAGUGUUCCUAAUAGAUAGUUAUUAUUACACUAUCUUUAGCAACACUUUUGAGAUAAGGAUGGGAUAACGCUGCAAGAAUAAGUAUAAA